Molecule: ribosomal RNA, 492 nt
Filed under: uncultured bacterium
Lineage: Bacteria
Description: partial 16S ribosomal RNA
Rfam family: Bacterial small subunit ribosomal RNA
Source: RNAcentral
AGUGAACGCUGGCGGUAGGCCUAACACAUGCCAGUCGAACGGCAGCACAGUAAGAGCUUGCUCUUACGGGUGGCGAGUGGCGGACGGGUGAGGAAUACAUCGGAAUCUACUUUUUCGUGGGGGAUAACGUAGGGAAACUUACGCUAAUACCGCAUACGACCUACGGGUGAAAGCAGGGGAUCUUCGGACCUUGCGCGAUUGAAUGAGCCGAUGUCGGAUUAGCUAGUUGUCGGGGUAAGGGCCCACCAAGGCGACGAUGCGUCGGUGGCCUGAGAGGAUGGUCGGCCACCAUGGAGCGGAGGAACGGUGCAGACUCCUACGGGGGGCAGCAGUGGGGAAGAUUGGUGAAUGGGCGCAAGCCUGAUCCUGCAAUACCGCGUGGGUGAAGAUGGCCUUCUGCUUGUUAAGACCUUUUGUUGGGAAAGAAAAGCAGCAGCUUAAUUCCCCGCUGUUCUGACGGUACCUAAAGAAUAAGCACCGGCUAACUUCGUG